AUUGCUAAGGAGAUCCUCAUCCAGCUCGAUUCUAUUAGAGGGCAGCAAUUGCAGACUUCACGCCGGGCCCAACACAGUUUGGGCUCCCACUUUCAACUAUUAAGGAGCUACAAUGUUUGGAUGAGACAUUAAAGAAUCCAGAGGAGAAGAAGAAUUUGACUGUUUUUCCUGGAAUGGUCGGAGGCAUGACUCUUAAAGACACCGUAGGGUGGGUCCUGAAAAGAACAAUGAACUCUUCGCUGGCGAGACUCAUUAAUUGGAGUGGGGCCAACCGAAAGCGUGGUUUUGGAUGCAGGCCGGAAUGCCCAUGCCAAAGAUAACACAGAAAAGGAGAUAGAGCACCUCAUCACCAGGUGGCCAGGGAUGGUGGCCGAAUCCAGAGGGCGAAUAGAUAAACAAUGAAUUAAAAUGUUUUAAAUUUAAAAAUGUUGAUUUUGGAAAAUUCGUAUUUGAACUGAUCGAGUGUGUGUGUA
Misgurnus anguillicaudatus (oriental weatherfish) is the source of this 473-nucleotide non-coding RNA. NCBI's taxonomy places the organism in Eukaryota, Metazoa, Chordata, Actinopteri, Cypriniformes, Cobitidae. The record is from RefSeq and is a predicted model, not a curated record.